This 89-nucleotide transfer RNA is filed under the name Caballeronia cordobensis. Its description in RNAcentral is "tRNA-Ser". Lineage: Bacteria; Pseudomonadati; Pseudomonadota; Betaproteobacteria; Burkholderiales; Burkholderiaceae. The record is from RNAcentral.
CACGCUGAUGGCCGGCAUGGCGCGCGGCACCUACUUUGUGCCGAUGGUCGGCGACGAGGUGCUGGUCGCGUUCAAUCAUGGCGACGUGC